This 1848-nucleotide long non-coding RNA is filed under the name Triticum aestivum (bread wheat). RNAcentral describes it as "long non-coding RNA (TAES_LNC006475)". Lineage: Eukaryota; Viridiplantae; Streptophyta; Magnoliopsida; Poales; Poaceae. The record is from RNAcentral.
AGUACUACAUAAGAGGUGUCUUUGCAGAGCUUAAGAACGAUUUAUGGGUUGGAGCACACUAAUACUGUAUUGAAAAGGGAUAGACAGCCAACCAGGUAUGCAGUUAUACGCCUUUUGUUCCAUGUGGUUAUCAAAGUAAUUGAUGCCAUUUAUUACCGUAAUCCUAUCACAUGAUAUAUUCUUAACAAAGGAUUUGAUGCCAUAUUUUUUACCUUAAUCCUAUAAUAAGACAGUCUUAUUUUCUGGUCAUGGAAUGAGAGCUUGCAGCUUAUACAUGAUGUCUUGCAAGCCUUGCAAUUUUUAUGGACAUUUUUUAUAAGUGGUUGGAAUUUUUACUGACAUGUUCUCAAGAUAUUCAUAUUGCGCUCUUGCUGCCUCUUGAUUUUAUAUGUUUAGAGUAAUGCCCAUCCAUCAUGUUAAAGGAAUUUCUCUGGUGCUAAAUCAAUCCCAAAUAAAUGUUACCAAUGUGUAAAAAAAAUCUGAUUAUGUUCUUUUAAGUUUCUUUUGAAUAUGAUUGUUAUCCCCAUUUCUAGACUGUUGACACUGCCCUAUUACAUGUACAGUGGUAGACUUCCCUUUUUGAUUGACUCUGGAUCUAAAGAAGUAUAAGCAUGUAGAGGAACUGGUGGUCCACCUUGCUACUCCAAAUGGACAGCCUGAUUUUAUCCAUGUGUUGGACUAAAUGAUAUUUGAUGAUUUGAGCCUUGCACCGGUAGGGUUUCCACAACACUAGGUAUGAUCUAAACAAUGGCUGAAAAUAUUUAUUGGAGCAUUUGUUUCAAACAAAUUUGUUGAAAGACAUUUCAAAUAUUUUAGUGCUUGUGAUAUAUUUUAGAUAGUACCGCUUUAAUGUGGCGUGGUACAGUUUGCCUUCUAUCAUGAACUUCGAACACUUCUAAAAAAUAUGCAAGAUAAUUUCCCUUUCAGCUGGCAAUUGGGUUAAAUUCAUGUACACAUCAGCACUCGGUAUCUCUAAAAACUAUAUGUGUGGGAACUCUUGAAGUAAAAUACGAUAUUGUCAGCUCGAUUGUUAUUUUAGUCAACAAAAUAUUUAAAAUUUUAAUGAAAAUGUGCAACAUCCAAUAAUAUAGUAGGUAUUAAUUAACAUUUAUAGUGAUUAUCAACAUCUUCGUUAAAUACGAUGUUUUUGCAUUGCGGAGGUCCAAUGAUUCUGGCUAUAUGCACUGGAGUUUAAUCCAUCUAUGUGAACUAAUUAGAUAUCUAUCUAUGUGAAUUUAGAGAUACAUAUGUGUUUGGGAUGAUUUCAGAGUACCAUUACCGGCCCUGUAGGUCCAUCGAAUUCGAUUGUUCUGGUUUUUUUUUUCAUUUUUUUACUUAACGAAGAUGUAUUUUCACUAUGAAGUUUAACAAUUAAUAACUAUUGGGUGUGUUCCGCAACGCAAUACACAAUGAAUUGGAUUCUCCUUGGCAUGAGGCGACAUGCCUUUGAAUUACCAAGUUUUAUUUGGUUGUUUGUUUCAUGUGUUAAUUCUGUAAUUGUACCAAUGUCCAUUCAUACGAAAAUGCAGGGUACUACAAUGAUGAAUGUAUGAUUUUGGUAGUUCCAUAAAAUAAAUAAAAUAUUUAGGACAUUGAAAUGUAGGGGUUGAGGUUUACAAGUCUACUCGAGUUAAAAAAUAUUUAGGUGAGGAUCUUUGUAGAUGAGUCCCUAUACAUAUAUUGAUGGGAGAUAUUUUAGGGGACAUGUUAAGUUUCUCUAACUCCGGUUCACGAUUCCUCGGAAAUCCUCCCAUGGAAAUCCUCCCAACCAUAACCAUUUACGGUAAACAACAUAUUUUGUUACUAUUUUAGUUAUCUUUUUAUCAAAUUUUCUUUAGUGAAAGCAAU